Long non-coding RNA from Xyrauchen texanus (razorback sucker), 214 nucleotides. RefSeq lists it as uncharacterized. Lineage: Eukaryota; Metazoa; Chordata; Actinopteri; Cypriniformes; Catostomidae. The transcript has 3 exons. The record is from RefSeq and is a predicted model, not a curated record.
AGGAUUUUUCACAACCUGCCCCAGAAACUGAAGCCUCUACCUCAAUGGGCUUCAGAAGGAAUGUGAACAAGUGGAAACAGACUCAGUCAGGGCCCUGUGUUCACUGAAGGAGCUGGACUGUGAGCUGAGGAGGCUCCAAAUUAAAAAAAUUAAAUUGGAGAUCAAACAGCUGGAAAAAACAGAUCUCACCACAUGACCAAUAAAACAGUUUGAG